UGCAUCGGCCGGGAAUCGAACCCGGGGCCGCCCGCGUGGCAGGAGAGCAUUCUACCACUGAACCACCGAUGA
This 72-nucleotide transfer RNA is filed under the name Cordylochernes scorpioides. Its description in RNAcentral is "tRNA-Gly". The record is from RNAcentral. Lineage: Eukaryota; Metazoa; Arthropoda; Arachnida; Pseudoscorpiones; Chernetidae.